Molecule: ribosomal RNA, 435 nt
Filed under: uncultured bacterium
Lineage: Bacteria
Description: partial 16S ribosomal RNA
Rfam family: Bacterial small subunit ribosomal RNA
Source: RNAcentral
AGCGAACGCUGGCGGCAGGCUUAACACAUGCAAGUCGAACGCAUCACUUCGGUGGUGAGUGGCAGACGGGUGAGUAACACGUGGGAACGUACCCUUCGAUCUGGGAUAACUUCGGGAAACUGGAGCUAAUACCGGAUACGCCCUUUUGGGGAAAGGUUUACUGUCGAAGGAUCGGCCCGCGUCUGAUUAGCUAGUUGGUGGGGUAACGGCCUACCAAGGCGACGAUAAGUAGCUGGUCUGAGAGGAUGAUCAGCCACACUGGGACUGAGACACGGCCCAGACUCCUACGGGAGGCAGCAGUGGGGAAUAUUGGACAAUGGGCGCAAGCCUGAUCCAGCCAUGCCGCGUGAGUGAUGAAGGCCUUAGGGUUGUAAAGCUCUUUUGUCCGGGACGAUAAUGACGGUACCGGAAGAAUAAGCCCCGGCUAACUUCGUG